RNAcentral lists this ribosomal RNA (277 nucleotides) under uncultured bacterium. RNAcentral describes it as "partial 16S ribosomal RNA". It matches the Rfam family "Bacterial small subunit ribosomal RNA", at positions 773 to 1060 of the family's 1533-position model. The record is from RNAcentral.
GUGGAUUAGAUACCCUGGUAGUCCACGCCGUAAACGAUGAGAACUAAGUGUUGGGGAGACUCAGUGCUGCAGUUAACGCAAUAAGUUCUCCGCCUGGGGAGUAUGCACGCAAGUGUGAAACUCAAAGGAAUUGACGGGGGCCCGCACAAGCGGUGGAGUAUGUGGUUUAAUUCGACGCAACGCGAAGAACCUUACCAGGCCUUGACAUGGGGAUAAAUGUCCUAGAGAUAGGAAGAUAGGUAUAUCCCACACAGGUGGUGCACGGUCGUCGCCAACU